UACGGGGGGGGCAAGCGUUGUUCGGAAUUACUGGGCGUAAAGGGUUCGUAGGUGGCCAAUUAAGUCAGACGUGAAAUCCCUCAGCUUAACUGGGGAACUGCGUCUGAGACUGGAUGGCUUGAGCGCAGGAGAGGAACGCGGAAUUCCAGGUGUAGCGGUGAAAUGCGUAGAUAUCUGGAGGAACACCGGUGGCGAAGGCGGCGUUCUGGACUGCAACUGACACUGAGGAACGAAAGCCAGGGGAGCAAACGGG
Molecule: ribosomal RNA, 253 nt
Filed under: uncultured bacterium
Lineage: Bacteria
Description: partial 16S ribosomal RNA
Rfam family: Bacterial small subunit ribosomal RNA
Source: RNAcentral